Molecule: unclassified non-coding RNA, 219 nt
Filed under: uncultured Actinomycetes bacterium
Lineage: Bacteria; Bacillati; Actinomycetota; Actinomycetes
Description: uncultured actinobacterium contains 16S-23S intergenic spacer region
Rfam family: Bacterial small subunit ribosomal RNA
Source: RNAcentral
UGGGUUUGACAUAUACCGGAAAGCCGUAGAGAUACGGCCCCCCUUGUGGUCGGUAUACAGGUGGUGCAUGGCUGUCGUCAGCUCGUGUCGUGAGAUGUUGGGUUAAGUCCCGCAACGAGCGCAACCCUUGUCCUAUGUUGCCAGCGGUUCGGCCGGGGACUCAUAGGAGACUGCCGGGGAUAACUCGGAGGAAGGUGGGGAUGACGUCAAGGUACGGAC